GAUGAACGCUGGCGGCGUGCCUAAUACAUGCAAGUCGAGCGAACGGACGAGAAGCUUGCUUCUCUGAUGUUAGCGGCGGACGGGUGAGUAACACGUGGAUAACCUACCUAUAAGACUGGGAUAACUUCGGGAAACCGGAGCUAAUACCGGAUAAUAUUUUGAACCGCAUGGUUCAAAAGUGAAAGACGGUCUUGCUGUCACUUAUAGAUGGAUCCGCGCUGCAUUAGCUAGUUGGUAAGGUAACGGCUUACCAAGGCAACGAUGCAUAGCCGACCUGAGAGGGUGAUCGGCCACACUGGAACGGAGACACGGUCCAGACUCCUACGGGAGGCAGCAGUAGGGAAUCUUCCGCAAUGGGCGAAAGCCUGACGGAGCAACGCCGCGUGAGUGAUGAAGGUCUUCGGAUCGUAAAACUCUGUUAUUAGGGAAGAACAUAUGUGUAAGUAACUGUGCACAUCUUGACGGUACCUAAUCAGAAAGCCACGGCUAACUACGUGCCAGCAGCCGCGGUAAUACGUAGGUGGCAAGCGUUAUCCGGAAUUAUUGGGCGUAAAGCGCGCGUAGGCGGUUUUUUAAGUCUGAUGUGAAAGCCCACGGCUCAACCGUGGAGGGUCAUUGGAAACUGGAAAACUUGAGUGCAGAAGAGGAAAGUGGAAUUCCAUGUGUAGCGGUGAAAUGCGCAGAGAUAUGGAGGAACACCAGUGGCGAAGGCGACUUUCUGGUCUGUAACUGACGCUGAUGUGCGAAAGCGUGGGGAUCAAACAGGAUUAGAUACCCUGGUAGUCCACGCCGUAAACGAUGAGUGCUAAGUGUUAGGGGGUUUCCGCCCCUUAGUGCUGCAGCUAACGCAUUAAGCACUCCGCCUGGGGAGUACGACCGCAAGGUUGAAACUCAAAGGAAUUGACGGGGACCCGCACAAGCGGUGGAGCAUGUGGUUUAAUUCGAAGCAACGCGAAGAACCUUACCAAAUCUUGACAUCCUUUGACAACUCUAGAGAUAGAGCUUUCCCCUUCGGGGGACAAAGUGACAGGUGGUGCAUGGUUGUCGUCAGCUCGUGUCGUGAGAUGUUGGGUUAAGUCCCGCAACGAGCGCAACCCUUAAGCUUAGUUGCCAUCAUUAAGUUGGGCACUCUAAGUUGACUGCCGGUGACAAACCGGAGGAAGGUGGGGAUGACGUCAAAUCAUCAUGCCCCUUAUGAUUUGGGCUACACACGUGCUACAAUGGACAAUACAAAGGGCAGCGAAACCGCGAGGUCAAGCAAAUCCCAUAAAGUUGUUCUCAGUUCGGAUUGUAGUCUGCAACUCGACUACAUGAAGCUGGAAUCGCUAGUAAUCGUAGAUCAGCAUGCUACGGUGAAUACGUUCCCGGGUCU
This 1372-nucleotide ribosomal RNA is filed under the name uncultured bacterium. Its description in RNAcentral is "bacterial SSU rRNA". It matches the Rfam family "Bacterial small subunit ribosomal RNA", at positions 28 to 1381 of the family's 1533-position model. The record is from RNAcentral.